This 484-nucleotide ribosomal RNA is filed under the name uncultured bacterium. RNAcentral describes it as "partial 16S ribosomal RNA". It matches the Rfam family "Bacterial small subunit ribosomal RNA", at positions 28 to 523 of the family's 1533-position model. The record is from RNAcentral.
GAUGAACGCUGGCGGCGUGCUUAACACAUGCAAGUCGAACGGAAAGGCCAGUGCUUGCACUGGUACGCGAGUGGCGAACGGGUGAGUAACACGUGGGUGAUCUGCCCUGCACUUCGGGAUAAGCCUGGGAAACUGGGUCUAAUACCGGAUAGGACCACAUUUUGGAUGGUGUGGUGGAAAGUUUUUUCGGUGUGGGACGAGCUCGCGGCCUAUCAGCUUGUUGGUGGGGUAAUGGCCUACCAGGGCGUCGACGGGUAGCCGGCCUGAGAGGGUGUACGGCCACAUUGGGACUGAGAUACGGCCCAGACUCCUGCGGGAGGCAGCAGUGGGGAAUAUUGCACAAUGGGCGCAAGCCUGAUGCAGCGACGCCGCGUGGGGGAUGACGGCCUUCGGGUUGUAAACUCCUUUCGCUAGGGACGAAGCGUAUUUGUGACGGUACCUGGAGAAGAAGCACCGGCUAACUACGUGCCAGCCGCCGCGGUAA